Molecule: long non-coding RNA, 1196 nt
Filed under: Androctonus crassicauda
Lineage: Eukaryota; Metazoa; Arthropoda; Arachnida; Scorpiones; Buthidae
Source: RNAcentral
AAAAAAUUAAAAAUCUAGCCAAUCUAUUUACUUUUCUAUGUUCUAACUAAUAGUUAGUUUUUGCCUAUUGUAUAGUAACUUAUUAUAGUCACUCUAUUUUUUUGGCAAUCUUGUCUUCAUGUGUGUCGACAGCUGGAUGCUCCCUUGGGGCCUGCAAGGUUUGGGGAAUUAAGUGACUCAAAAAAAGCGUUUAUUGUUUAAAGAUAAAAUUGAAAAAGAAAAUUUCUUAUUGUUUGAAAUAGAUUGAAAAGAAAAAAAACCAAUGUAUGUAUAAAUAUUUUAAAUUUUAAGAUAAAUUGUUUUGUAUUUAGAAAUUAGUAAAUUCCUUUUUUUGAAUUGUAUUUUUUAGAUAUACGUUUAAAUAUGUCGAAUUUUGAUAAUUAUAAUUACUGAUGAGGGCGGUAAUGCCGAAAUGCAUAUAAUGUAAAAAAAGGAAUUCGACAAUAAACGGAAGAAAAGGAAAAAAUAAGGAUUGAGUCAUUUAAUUCCCCAAACUUUGCAGGCUUCAAGGGAGCAUCCAGUUGUCGAUAUGCAUGAGGAUGGGAUUGCCAAGGGGGUGGAGUGACUGUAAUAAGUUGCUGUGCACUAUGCAAUAGGCGGGGGCUGACUAUUAGUUAGAACAUAGAGAUUAGACAAUAUAUUAAAUCUGUAAAAAUAAUUUAUUAAAGUGUAUAGACAGAAAAGUUUUGGAUGUUAAUCCAAAAUUUCAGGAUAUACAAUGUUUUUUCUAAAUAUUUCAUUUUUCAAUGUCCCUGUUUGUUAUUUUCACAGAAAUUUAUUAUAUUUGUUAUUUUUGUUUAUUGUUAUUUUUUAUUUUUAAAUUCUAUGAUAAAUUAUUUAUAUUUGAUGUUCUAUGAUAAAUUUGUCUAUGCACCUGAUAAAAAUAUGGACCAUUUCCACAAAUUUCAGUUCCAUGUGCAACCAUUGAUGCAAAAGAUAAGGCACUAUUGUAUGAUCGGAUAUUAUCCUUAAAGUUUUUGUAAUUUUCGUUAUUAAUGUUAGUGAAUAAAUCUUUCAAAAAUGGAGGAUAUUCUCUUCUGUGAAGUAUUUUCACUCUUCCUUUGUGGCAACAAUUGUUAAAUUUUCCAUCUAAGGGAUGUUCACUAUUAAAAUUAAUGGAAUCACAAAAUUAACAGAUAUCAUUCAUUGGGCCACAAUAAUGGAUCAAAUUUCGUUAAAUUUGUUAUUAUCAAAUU